UGGGGAAUAUUGCGCAAUGGGCGGAAGCCUGACGCAGCGACGCCGCGUGGGGGAUGACGGCCUUCGGGUUGUAAACCUCUUUCGCCAGGGACGAAUGUGGACGGUACCUGGAGAAGAAGCACCGGCCAACUACGUGCCAGCAGCCGCGGUAACACGUAGGGUGCGAGCGUUGUCCGGAAUUAUUGGGCGUAAAGAGCUCGUAGGCGGUGUGUCGCGUCGGCCGUGAAAACUUGGGGCUUAACUCUGAGCU
Molecule: ribosomal RNA, 250 nt
Filed under: uncultured bacterium
Lineage: Bacteria
Description: partial 16S ribosomal RNA
Rfam family: Bacterial small subunit ribosomal RNA
Source: RNAcentral